This is a non-coding RNA of Pelobates cultripes (western spadefoot toad), 263 nucleotides long. NCBI's taxonomy places the organism in Eukaryota, Metazoa, Chordata, Amphibia, Anura, Pelobatidae. The record is from the annotation of a GenBank genome assembly.
CAAAGAUCUGCAGAAGAAAUAGAAUAGUUGGACAACUUUAUGCAAUAUAUGCUAUGUAGAUGAAAUAUUAUGGCGUUGUGUUGUAAAACAAAUCAAAACUAAAUUUAACAGACCCAAAUAGUGCGGAUAAAGUUAGGGUAUAUAAUGGCAUAGGAUGACUAAGGUGCCUCCAAGUAUAUGGGAAAGGAGCUACUAAGUGGCUCUAGUAAUAGGCGGUGAUGUCUAGGUCAUCAGCAUUAACAAGCAUCAAAGGCGAGAAAGGU